AAAUCUCCCCCUAUAUCACCUGUCAAGGGGUGGGAUAUUAGGAAACAAGCUAAUAGUCAGUUAUUAAAGCUGAUGUGUUGGAAGCUGGUUCAGGGAUUUUGUGAUGGCUACAGGACUAGGUCAUUUCAUGAAGAAAUCUGCCUAUAAGAAAACUAUUUCACUCCAACAAGGCGGGCAUUUUGUUGGUGAAGAAAGUGCAUGUUUUGGAAAUCUUUCUGACAGCUCAGUCCUAGUGGUCUCACUUGGCUACUAAACAGGGAUAUGUGAACUGUACAGCUGAAAGGAGGAGAGAAAUCACAGCACAGUGAAGAUCAUCACAGAUGGAAGAGCUUGUGUGCUAA
Molecule: long non-coding RNA, 341 nt
Organism: Hyla sarda
Lineage: Eukaryota; Metazoa; Chordata; Amphibia; Anura; Hylidae
Exons: 3
Source: RefSeq, a predicted model, not a curated record